ACAGAGUCUAAAUUUCCUAGGCACCUGGCUCACCUGUAACCUCUAAGAACCAGGCUGGCCUUGAAGUCACUAUGGAGCCCAGCUGGCCUCAAGCCCCUCUCCUGCCUCAGCCUCCAAGUGAUGGGAUUACAAUAAAGGACACAUUGCUGUUAAUGACCCUCAAGGCACCCCUCACGUCCAACACAUGUACCUAUCAUUCUUGCCGCUUUCUGGAGCAGUUCUGGAAGUCCGCUUUGCCAGAUGUUACUGAGUGCCAGAGCUGGUGAAGAAGGUGGCUGAGCACACACAGUGACAAUUUCACCAGCGACUCUGUCGGACACAAUGGGAAGCACCAUCACUGAUCACAUCUCCUAAAGAUGCCUGUGGAAGGGGACUUCAGAACUGCUUCAGAAGUGGCACGAAUGAUGGGGUGUGUAAACACAGCAGUACUUGUGCCUCUUAACAAGGACCUAGAGUGUUCCGAGGGACAGGGGUAUGCUGCAGAGGUCACACCAUACAGCUGGUACCAGCCCGCCACAGCUCCGGAGAGCUGGGUGUUUCCACACUCUGAAGAGUCCUGGCUCUGAAUACCCGAGGGGAAGAACAGCAUGGCACCAUGAAUCCACCUACACUCAGAUCCAGCCCCCUCUGAAAAAGCACCACCAAUGACUGAAUGAGGCCUCGGGGGGACAUCUAGACAUGAGCCGUGACAGUGUGUACAGGGCACCUCACUGAUGUAAGUACUCACCACGAGCCUGAUCCUGCAGGAGC
Molecule: long non-coding RNA, 750 nt
Organism: Cavia porcellus (domestic guinea pig)
Lineage: Eukaryota; Metazoa; Chordata; Mammalia; Rodentia; Caviidae
Exons: 5
Source: RefSeq, a predicted model, not a curated record